AUGAUCAAUGAGAGGAGCCUCCUUGUGUUUGUUAACUCUUGCAUGAUGUGUUUCGGAAAUUUCUACUUUGUGCUUUGAGUGUACCGGUGCCCAAAUACUAAAAAAAAAAAACGACUCUUAUGCCUAAUAAUAAACAUGAGGGCGAGCCCUGGUGCAGCGGUAAAGUUGUGCCUUGGUGACUUGUUGGUCAUGGGUUCGAAUCCGGAAACAGCCUCUUUGCAUAUGCAAGGGUAAGGCUGCGUACAACAUCCCUCCCCUAUACCUUCGCAUAGCGAAGAGCCUCUGGGCAAUGGGGUACGAAGUUUUAUGCCUAAUAAUAAACAUGUAAUAAGAACAGAGAAUUUAAAGUUUCAAAGUCGAGGAUUAGAACACAAUUCCAUAUUCAGAUUACCAUACUUUUAGCUACAUGACACCACACAAAUUCAUGGCAGUGACAGUUAAAAAAUAUACGGGUGUCAUGUAAGACAUGUUAGUGCACUUAAUUAGGUCGUUGAUUUAUAGGAGACUUCAUUUGGUAAAGUUUAUCCACUCUUUUUAACUGUGUCAUUCGACUGCUAUGAUUAUUUUGAAGGAAAAUGUUCUUGUUCAAUUAAAGUGGGAUAAGUUUUGUUGCCCCUUUGAAUUUGUAGUGUAUUAUUUGGUGUACCCCCUCGAACUCCUAAUGAUAACUAAAUAAAAAUAAUAAUAUUAUCAUAAUACUACUUUACUAAAUACUGUUUAAGUUAAUAUAUAUUUUUUUGUCUUUCUAAAAUCCAUAAAGUUUGAAUUUCAUUCUUGUAAAAGUUUUUGUUUGUUUUUCGUUCUUACAAAAUUAUAUGUUAAGUUUGUACAGUCUAUUAUAACAACUAGAUGAUUCAUCCUUAUCCAUGAUUUUGAUUAUUACAAAGGAAUAAAUUAUUGAUGGACUAAUGAGUUAUUUUCAAGUGAACAAGACUUAUUACAUAUGAGCAUACUUAGUAUUAUUUUUUAUCUUAUAACUCGUAUUAGCUCCAUUCAUUAGUAGAAAAUUGGUUGUGUUAAAAGUAACAUCUAAUGUCCAAUGUGUUAUUAUAAACUAGUCUUCACUCUUUAUGUAAACAAGUAUGUAUAAACUGUGUUCUUUAUUCAUGUCUAUUGGACUUAAUCACUUACACAAAUCUACAUUAUAUCAAGUAUAAGUGACGUCCAAUCAUGAAUCUUGUAGCCAAAAAGGAAAGUGCAUGAACUUAACUUUAGUAAAUUCACUUUGUUUUUGUUAUUUUGAAUUGCUAACAUUUGAAUUUCGAGUAAGUAAGGAUAGAAUAGAAGGCAAUAGAAGAAAACACAAAAAUUUCCUUAGAGGUUGUUAUUGCUAAAGAGAGGAGCAAAUGUAGUUGUUUGUACGUUUGUACUUUCUCUCUCCACAAGAGAGUGACACGUAGCACUGCCUCUAGCUAUGAGAUAACGGUCAAAUUAGAGACAAGUGUUAUUCCUGUAAUGGAUACUUGCAUGAAGUCUAUAAAAAGCUAUCAAGGCUCUACUAUCAAUAGCAAGAAGAAAUUAAAACAUAAAUAAGUCAAAAGCAAGAGCAUUCUGAAGUGAGAAUUUGUCAAGUCAUUAGACGACACUACACAGUGUUUAAUUAGUUCAUCAUUUGUAAAACAAAUUUAUUCAUUUGCAUUCGAGCUGAAGUGUUUAUCUACUUUGUUGAGUGAUUUGAAUUUGUGUUUCAUUCAAACAUUAUUUGUUUGUGAAAGUUAGGAGUGACUUAGUGUUAAACAAUACUUGGGUGUUUUAGAUUCAGGGGGAGUCUAAGGGUGUGCCAGUAGUGGCCUGUGGCAGAACAGAGUAAUUGUUUGUAAUCAAGCUUUGAUUAGUGGAACCAUUCAUUGGUUUAUGAAGGAGAAUUGGACAUAGCUCUAUUUGAGUGAAUAAGUAUAAACUAAGUGUUUCUACUUAUCUCUUAAGCUAUUUGGUUAGUAUCAUCUUAAGUUUAUCUUGACAUGCUUUGUCACACAAGUGUUCUUUUGAAAAACCUUUGUCUAAAUAUAGUUUUAUCAAUCACUGGACAACAUUGUUUUUGUUUUCACCAAAAUUGGUUUUAUUCAUUGAAUGACACUGUCAGUAACUUGGUUUCUGCAUAUUUGUUUGUGAAAAACAACUUUUUGCAAAAAAAAUUCAUUUUUAUCUAACACACCAUUCAAUCCCCUUCUAGUGUGAUAUUUGUUAUUUCGGUUGGUAUCGGAGCUCAGCCUCUCAGGUUGAGUAUUCAACAAUACAUAGGAAAAGAUCCAAUCAAAGAAAGAAAUGGAAGAAGGAUAUGCUACCAACAAGCCAUCAUUGUUCAAAGGAGUCAAAUAUGACUACUAGAAGGAAAGGAUGAUUGCACACUUUGAGUCCAUACAUAUCAAUCUGUGGGAUGUUGUAGAGAAUGGAAAUCACAUUCCAUAUGAUGUUGAGUUGAACGAGAUCCCUAUGAGUCAAUGGAUGGAAGAGCAAAAAAUAGAGAUUUUUGCUUAACUCCAAAGCUUGAAAUGCUUUGUUUUGUGUUCUCUUUAAGGAAGAAUACCCCAAAGUCCACAACUUCGGAAGUGCUAAGCAUAUGUGGGACACACUGGCCAUAACAUAUGAAGGGACAUCAUAGGUAAAGAGAAACAAGUUAACUCUCCUCAUGUGAGAAUGAAUUAUUUACUAUGGUAGAAGGUGAAAAUAUAUAAUGUAUGUUUGGAUGCUUCCAAAUCAUAUUAAAUGAACUAAAUCUUUAGGAAAAAGUUAUAAUAAUUAUGAUCACAUUGACAAAAUUUUGAGAAGUCUAUCUAGAAAGUUGAGACCACAGGUUACAACCUUGAGAGCUCUAAAGAAUCUUGAUACCAUAUCCCUCUAAGAACUUGUUGGAACCUUAAAGGUCCAUGAACAAGAACUUCAACAAUAUGAAGGAAUCAAGAACGAAAAAUCUCUUGCUCUCAACGCUCAGAAAGUAAAGAAAGCACUACUGUGACACCCUCAAAUUUCGAUAAUUGAAAAUAGAUGUUUGAUGUUUUUCUUGUGUUAUUUGAUUACUUGAUUAAUUUGGAUGAGUUAAGGUAUUGUGUGAAUUAGCCAUGUGUAAUUUGCUUGAUGUGGAUAUUGAGUUAUGUCGACUUUUAUUGAUUGAGGUUGAAAUUAUGAGAUUUUUAGUUUUACCUAAACCUGUUUUACUAAAACUGCAUGGAUUCGUUAAUUGUUGGAUAGCCUUAAAAUUUGAACUGUAGGCUUGCAAUCCAAUUUUGCACAUUCUGACUGUUGAGAUUUACAAUAUAACAUCUUGAGUAUGAGAUAUGAUAUUUUCACCGAAGCAGUAAAAUUUGUUGGAGCAGAAUUCGCCCAGGCGAAUUUGAGCUGGAUCAGCUUGCCCAGGCAAGCCAAAUUUUGCUGGGGCAAGUCUUGCAGGCUACAAAUAUGUCCAGUAGCAUAAAACAACCAUUUUCACCUUCAUCUCUUCCCUUAAACCCUCCCCCAACAUCCCCAACCUCCUCUUCCACCACCGAUGACCGCCACGAGAAGCCUUUGCUUGUUGUCGGACCACCGCACGAAGAAGAACAAUUUAAUCAGUGCGAAAUCUUCAGAACUCAACUCAAGGAUUUAGUAGAUAACAAAGCCUCCAAUCCUUCCUUCGUGGUUUCUUCGAGCAUAUGAGCAGCAGUAGGUGACUUAGAGGGAAGUCUUUUGUUGGAGCCGCCAAGCCGACAUGAUAAUGUUGGAAUUUAUUUUGGGGGAGAGUUGUGUUUUGUUAUGAACUCUUCCUUAGUUGGUUCCUUGACUCUUUUUUAUUGGACAUGUCCCAAGUUUAGAUAUAUGUAAAAACUGAAGCUGACAUUU
This is a long non-coding RNA of Glycine soja, 3816 nucleotides long. RefSeq lists it as uncharacterized. The record is from RefSeq and is a predicted model, not a curated record. NCBI's taxonomy places the organism in Eukaryota, Viridiplantae, Streptophyta, Magnoliopsida, Fabales, Fabaceae. The transcript is spliced from 2 exons.